CCCCCUCCCCCCCCCAGCAGAGAGACCCCAGCAGCAGCAGCAGCUGAUGAUGAAGAGAGAGGCAGUGGCAGAGGGGGGGCACCUUUUAUUUCUAUUUUUAAAGGGACAGGACACUAAUUUUACCCCACUUCAACCUUGAAUUGAGGGGGGUGGGGGGAAGGCGGCUCAGUUCCUUCCCCCACCCUCCAGCCCUGAGACCUGAGAGGGGGAUUGAGCCUGAGAAAGAAGAAGGAGUUUCUUCUUCUUCGAAAACCCCCAUCCACGACUCCUACCCCCUCACCCCUCCACUAGCCUCCCUCCCGAGCCCCCUCCACCCUCCUCUUUGGCCGUGAGAGGAGGAGAGAAAGAGACCAAAAGCCUCUUAGCAACACAGACCCUUUGCUGCUGCUGCUGCUGCUGCUGCUGCUGCUGCUGCUACUGCUGCUGCUGCUUGGCCCUGGCUGGAGACAUCUCACUACACCCAGGAGCAGCCACUUCCCCAGCUCUCCUCCUCCUUCGCCUCCUCCUCCUCCACUCCCCCCCCUUUAUUACCCUUUGUGUCAUCCUCCACAGCUCCAGGGAAGGCACUCAAAAGUGGGGGGCAGGAAAGAUGCUUUUUGAGGAAAUCAGUUUCUGCAUGUGGAAAGUAGAUAUUGAAGGUUAUAUGGUUUACAGACAAGAUCUUUAAAAUAUAGAUACUCAAGCUGUGAUCUACUGUUGGAAGUGGCCAUUUAGCAGAUCUUAAUACCCUAGGCAUCAAGCCAGUUUAUGUGUUCGAGUGAGUAACGUCUUCAGUGCAAGAUGAACAUCAAGUUCAGGAACCCGAAUACAUGAACAUAGAUUUUGGUGGAUCUUGCUUUCUCUUUGCUUUCUUUCUCUUUUUUCUUCUAUAAUUCAUCUUUUAUAAGUUAAAACUUACGGUUGUUCAAAUGCAGACAGAUUCUAGUUUCUUCAUUCUUUCACUUUUCUGGUUAAAUAUUCAAUUUUUAAUUUUCUCCUGUUUCCAGAAGCCAUUAUUCACCAAUAUAAGUAGCUUUAUAUUGGUUUAUAUACAUUCUCUAACUAAAAUUGGAAUUAAAAGAAAUUGAACAUCAGAUUUAAGGAGAAAUUGCCAGAUUAACUUUCUGUAACUGUUUUCAGCAUUUGACAGAAAUUUUUAACUUUUGUUACAUCUUUAUGGUAAGGACAUACUAAAGUCUAGCCCAGCCUUAUUCUAUUAUUUGGUUC
This 1206-nucleotide long non-coding RNA is filed under the name Neogale vison (American mink). RNAcentral describes it as "Neovison vison (American mink) lncRNA (ENSNVIG00000004088.1)". Lineage: Eukaryota; Metazoa; Chordata; Mammalia; Carnivora; Mustelidae. The record is from RNAcentral.